This 489-nucleotide ribosomal RNA is filed under the name Triticum aestivum (bread wheat). RNAcentral describes it as "partial small subunit ribosomal RNA". Lineage: Eukaryota; Viridiplantae; Streptophyta; Magnoliopsida; Poales; Poaceae. The record is from RNAcentral.
AUGGGCAACUGCCAGGCGGCGGAGGAGGCGACGGUGGUGGUGCAGCACCCGGGCGGCGGGCGGGUGGAGCGGCUCUACUGGGCCACCAGCGCCGCCGAGGUCAUGCGCGCCAACCCGGGCCACUACGUCGCGCUCGUCACCCUCCGCGUCACCGAGGAAGAGGGCCAGCGGCAAAGGCGCGGCGCUGUGCGGCUGACGCGGGUGAAGCUGCUCAAGCCCCGGGACACGCUGCAGCUCGGCCACGCCUACCGCCUCAUCGCCGUCGACGAGGUCACCAGGGCCGUGCAGGCCAGGAAGGAGGAGAAGACCAGGAGGGCGCAGCGGCAGCGCCAGCAGGCCUCCGCCGGCAACGACCAGUCACUCAUGGACGAGGGUCUCGAUCAGUUGGAGCAGCAGGACAGGGACGGCCACCCGAGCAGCUCGACGAAAGGCUCGAGGCAUCGCCAGUGGCGCCCGUCUCUGCACAGCAUCGCCGAAGUCAGCAGCUGA